CCCCUAGAUGUUCUGGGCCGCACGCGCGCUACACUGAACAGUUCAACAAGUCUUAACCUUGGCCGAUAGGUCUGGGUAAUCUUUGAACGCUGUUCGUGAUUGGGAUAGACCUUUGCAAUUAUGGGUCUUCAACGAGGAAUUCCUAGUAAACGCAAGUCAUCAGCUUGCAUUGAUUACGUCCCUGCCCUUUGUACACACCGCCCGUCGCACCUACCGAUUGAGUGAUCCGGUGAAUAAUUCGGACUGCAGCAGUGUUCAGUUCCUGAACGUUGCAGUGGAAAGUUUAGUGAACCUUAUCACUUAGAGGAAGGAGAAGUCGUAACA
This 324-nucleotide ribosomal RNA is filed under the name uncultured eukaryote. RNAcentral describes it as "partial 18S ribosomal RNA". It matches the Rfam family "Eukaryotic small subunit ribosomal RNA", at positions 1470 to 1796 of the family's 1831-position model. The record is from RNAcentral.